GAGCCUACGGGGGGCAGCAGUGAGGAAUAUUGGUCAAUGGGCUUACGCCUGAACCAGCCAAGUCGCGUGAGGGAAGACUGCCCUAUGGGUUGUAAAACUCUUUUGUCAGGGAGCAAAGGGCGCCACGUGUGGCGCUUUGCGAGUACCUGAAGAAAAAGCAUCGGCUAACUCCGUGCCAGCAGCCGCGGUAAUACGGAGGAUGCGAGCGUUAUCCGGAUUUAUUGGGUUUAAAGGGUGCGCAGGCGGAAUGUCAAGUCAGCGGUAAAAUUUCGGGGC
This 276-nucleotide ribosomal RNA is filed under the name uncultured bacterium. Its description in RNAcentral is "partial 16S ribosomal RNA". It matches the Rfam family "Bacterial small subunit ribosomal RNA", at positions 335 to 608 of the family's 1533-position model. The record is from RNAcentral.